UGCAUUUUCCAAAAGCGGAGGAAAAGAAACCAACAGGGAUUGCCUUAGUAGCGGCGAGUGAAGCGGCAAAAGCUCAAAUUUGAAAUCUGGCUCUUUCAGAGUCCGAGUUGUAAUUUGAAGAAGGUAUCUUUGGGUCUGGCUCUUGUCUAUGUUUCUUGGAACAGAACGUCACAGAGGGUGAGAAUCCCGUGCGAUGAGAUGAUCCAGGCCUAUGUAAAGUUCCUUCGAAGAGUCGAGUUGUUUGGGAAUGCAGCUCUAAGUGGGUGGUAAAUUCCAUCUAAAGCUAAAUAUUGGCGAGAGACCGAUAGCGAACAAGUACAGUGAUGGAAAGAUGAAAAGAACUUUGAAAAGAGAGUGAAAAAGUACGUGAAAUUGUUGAAAGGGAAGGGCUUGAGAUCAGACUUGGUAUUUUGUAUGUUACUUCUUCGGGGGUGGCCUCUACAGUUUAUCGGGCCAGCAUCAGUUUGGGCGGUAGGAGAAUUGCGUUGGAAUGUGGCACGGCUUCGGUUGUGUGUUAUAGCCUUCGUCGAUACUGCCAGCCUAGACUGAGGACUGCGGUUUAUACCUAGGAUGUUGGCAUAAUGAUCUUAAGUCGCCCGUCUUGAACCAACGGACAA
RNAcentral lists this ribosomal RNA (617 nucleotides) under Candida tropicalis. RNAcentral's name for it is "eukaryotic LSU rRNA". It matches the Rfam family "Eukaryotic large subunit ribosomal RNA", at positions 37 to 668 of the family's 3401-position model. The record is from RNAcentral. Lineage: Eukaryota; Fungi; Ascomycota; Pichiomycetes; Serinales; Debaryomycetaceae.